GACACUCUGCCGUCUGCACCGGAGAGAAAAAGCAGGGAACCCCUAGGAGCCCCCAGACUGGUGCAUGUGACUCUGGAUCCAGACACGGCUCAUCCCAUCCUCGUCCUGUCUGAGGAUCGGAAAAGUGUGAGACGGAGAGACAGACGGCAGCGACUGCCUGACAACCCUGAGAGAUUUGACACUGUGUUCUGUGUGCUGGGCUGUGAGGGAUUCACCUCGGGGAGACAUUGCUGGGAGGUGGAAGUGGGGGAUGAGGAGUUCUGGGCUGUGGGGGUGGCCAGAGAGUCUGUGGGGAGGAAGGGAUGGAUCAGCCCUAGCCCUAAGGGGGGGAUCUGGGCUGUGGAGCAGUGCUGGGGUCGGUUGCAGGCUUUCACCUCCCCUCGCACCCGCCUGCCCCUGAUCUGGGCCUCCAGCAGGAUCCGGGUUUGUCUGGACUGUGACCGGGGGCAGGUGACAUUUAUCGAUGCUGGUGACGGGGCCCCGAUCUUCACUUUCCCGCCAGGCUCCGUCCCUGGGGAGAGAAUCCGACCCUGGUUCUGGGUGGGGCGGGGAUCCCGGCUCAGCCUGUGUCCCUGAGACACGCAGCAGAGGCAGGAACCGGAAAUCAGCCUCUCUAGCCUGAGGGACCCCAGUCUCUAUGACCUUGGAGGACUCCCAUCUACCCAGCCCUCAGCACCUCAUCUAUGUCCCCUGCAAGAUCCUCCCCCUCCCCCUCUGGGGCUGCCGGUUGGGCAGAGAUGGGGGGCUGGGUAGAGGGCAAAACUAACAGCUGGGAUGGGGGUGGGAGGGACACAGCAUGAAUCAAUCAGGGUUCGGGGGGUUGGGGAGAAGCAGCAGCAGCGGGGAGCGUUUUGUACAGAUCUGUGGGAUUAGAUCUCACCAGGAUCAGGGCCGGCUCUAACAUUUUUGCCGCCCCAAGCAAAAAAAAAAUAGCACCGCCCGACCUCUCCCUGAGCGUCAUACUGCCCGAGUCCCCGCAGCCCCCAGCGCCACGUCGGGCCACCCAACUCCCCGCCCCCCCCCCCCCGAGCAUCGCGUCGGGCCGCCCAAGUCGUCGUCCCCCCCCCAGUGCCGCCUGGCCAAACCACAAACAACAAAAACAAACCCCGAUUGCCACCCCCUCCCGAAGUGCCGCCCCAGGCACGUGCUUGGUAGGCUGGUGCCUGGAGUUGGCCCUGCCCAGGAUCAGCACGAGGGGAAGGGGUAAGAUCAGGGAAAGAAGAGAGCAGCCGAGGGGGAUGAUCUGUGACAGGGGGGAGAGACACAGGGAAAUAAAGAGGGAUGGAAAGUGGGGCUAGAACAAUGAUGACUAGAAAAGGACAGUACGAAAGGAAAGGGAAUGUGAGCGGGACGGGGAGAUUUAUUACAUGUUACUGAAAGUGAGACUGUAACUCAUUAAUUCCCUAUAUUAAUUCCUGGCCAUUGGUGCAAUUUUAGUGCCAUAAAGAAAACUGUUCUCAGUAGCUGGGGAUCUCCUGGCCGUGCUGCAGUUAUUAAGGCUCCUUCUCAGCUCCUUUUACUUUGCUACUUUCCAGCUACUUACUGUAAAUAAAACAUUACAAACAAU
Long non-coding RNA from Mauremys mutica (yellowpond turtle), 1567 nucleotides. RefSeq lists it as uncharacterized. Lineage: Eukaryota; Metazoa; Chordata; Testudines; Geoemydidae. The record is from RefSeq and is a predicted model, not a curated record. The transcript is spliced from 2 exons.